UGAUAUACGCUCGUCUCAAAGGUUAAGCCAUGCAUGUCUAAGUACAAGCUUCCUAGAAAGUGAAACCGCAUAAGGCUCAGUAUAACAGCUAUAAUUUACAAGAUCCUCAUCCAAACAGUUACUUGGAUAACUGUGGAAAAGCCAGAGCUAAUACAUGCAUUAUGCCGGGACUGUUGGCCUCCGGGUCGGCGGAACUGGUGCACUUAUUAGUUAAACCAAUCGCCUCCGGGCGCUUUGAGUUGAAAUCUGGAUAAGGAUGCCGAUCGUACGGUCGCUUUGCGACUGACGACAGAUCUUUCAAAUGUCUGCCCUAUCAACUAUUGAUGGUAGUGUAGAGGACUACCAUGGUUGCGACGGGUAACGGGGAAUCAGGGUUCGAUUCCGGAGAGGGAGCCUGAGAAAUGGCUACCACAUCCAAGGAAGGCAGCAGGCGCGUAAAUUACCCAAUCCCGGCACGGGGAGGUAGUGACGAGAAAUAACAAUAUGGACCUCUCUAACGAUGGUCCAUAAUUGGAAUGAGUUGAGCAUAAAUCCUUUUGCAAGGAUCAAGUGGAGGGCAAGUCUGGUGCCAGCAGCCGCGGUAAUUCCAGCUCCACUAGCGUAUAUUA
RNAcentral lists this ribosomal RNA (608 nucleotides) under Anopheles gambiae str. PEST. RNAcentral describes it as "SSU rRNA". It matches the Rfam family "Eukaryotic small subunit ribosomal RNA", at positions 21 to 606 of the family's 1831-position model. The record is from RNAcentral. Lineage: Eukaryota; Metazoa; Arthropoda; Insecta; Diptera; Culicidae.